This 480-nucleotide ribosomal RNA is filed under the name uncultured bacterium. RNAcentral's name for it is "partial 16S ribosomal RNA". It matches the Rfam family "Bacterial small subunit ribosomal RNA", at positions 30 to 505 of the family's 1533-position model. The record is from RNAcentral.
AUUGAACGCUGGCGGCAUGCCUUACACAUGCAAGUCGAACGGUAACGGGCCUUCGGGUGCCGACGAGUGGCGAACGGGUGAGUAAUACAUCGGAACGUGCCCGAUCGUGGGGGAUAACGAGGCGAAAGCUUUGCUAAUACCGCAUACGAUCUACGGAUGAAAGCAGGGGACCGCAAGGCCUUGCGCGGACGGAGCGGCCGAUGGCAGAUUAGGUAGUUGGUGAGAUAAAAGCUUACCAAGCCGACGAUCUGUAGCUGGUCUGAGAGGAUGAUCAGCCACACUGGGACUGAGACACGGCCCAGACUCCUACGGGAGGCAGCAGUGGGGAAUUUUGGACAAUGGGCGCAAGCCUGAUCCAGCCAUGCCGCGUGCAGGAUGAAGGCCUUCGGGUUGUAAACUGCUUUUGUACGGAACGAAAAGCCUUCUUUUAAUACAGGAGGGUCAUGACGGUACCGUAAGAAUAAGCACCGGCUAACUACG